AAUAUGUUGAAAACAUGUGAAAUUUUUAUGAUGAAAUAUUAUUAUUUCUUUCAACUUAACACCAUCGCCUUACCUUAUCUUUUCCUUAUGCUUCGAAGAAAUGUUUUGAAGAAACUAUAUACGUUCAAGUUUUAUUUAGAAAAACGACAUUUCGAACGUACACCUAACGUGGAAGCACGUUAAUAAUCUGUAACAGGUCGGGUUAUUUAGAUUAAAGUUAGAAACUCGUCGCAUAACUUACCAAGGACCUGUUAAUUUUAACGCUAUUUAAUAUGCGAUACUCCAGAGGGAGAGAGAUAAGAUACGAAAAAUAUGCCGCAGCUAAAUUUCAUCUUAUUUCUUUUCGAGGGAGAAACGUCUUUUACUUCUUUCUUCGAAUAAUAUCAAUGAUUUAUCAAAUGUUAAAUUUGAAUAAUUUUUUAUAUUCCAACGUUCUUUUUAUCCAACUUUUUAUAAAAGAAAGGGAAACGAAUCAAGCUAUCGCAUUACUCACGUCCUCCCGUUACAUUGUUUAUAACGAAAAGAAUAAAUAUUUUUGAACCCACAUACGUCGUUCGACGUAUAAUUAUAGAUAUCUCGCGGAAGAUAUCUCUUUGACAAAACUCGUUUCCCGAUCGUUCACAAUGUCCGAUCGUUUCUCUCUUUUUCUCUCGUCUCUCGCGAUGCGGAGAAUGGAACGAACGAUAGGACGAGAUCGCCCGAGGCUGCGCACUUACGUUUGACAUUUAUCGGAAACGACAUUUGCGUUUCGUACGUUCUUUCGCGCCAAGGAGGUUAACCUGGCGACGAGUAAGCAGUACAAAUUGGAGAUUCGAAGGGGGUAAUGGAAAAUGAUCGGGGAAACGUCGGUGGCGAUGGUGAAAGUGCAACGAAUGGAGUGCAUCUACCCAUUUGAAUUCUGACUUGUAUCGAUCUCGCCGCGUUUCGAUCCAACCGUGCUCGCGAGAAGGCCGAUGGGAUAGGUUAGGUGCACGAGAGCGGUUCGAUUGUCCGUUUUCUGUCGGAAGUUAUAAAAGAAAAAGGAAAAAAUACGUUUUUCUCGUUAUUAUUAUCGAUAGUUUGCGCGAGCAUACAAUGAGAGUAGCAGUGUAUGAUAAUGUGACGUUGAAUCACCUCGCACGAUAACGAAAUUGAAACGAGCAAGUAGAAAAUAGCGAGGAUACUGGGAUUAAAAAAUUGCAUGUUAAUAAAUUUGACGGUGUUGCUAAAUUUUAAAACGAGAUGUGACAUAUUUCUAUUUAUUUUCCACAUAAUGUAUUUAAUUAUCGCGACGUUUGCGAGAUGUAAUAAUUAGAAAAAUUGUCAAACGAUUUUUCAAAAUGUCGCUUUCUACCAACAACCAAUGAUCGAAAAUAGCGAUUACAAUUUAAAUGAGCAUAUUUGGGUUACAAAAAACAUCCUUCUAGUCAAAAUAAGACGUUGCGUCGAUAUCAAAAAUACCAAACAGGUUUUCGAAUUCAUCGAUCUUUGUCAAGGGCUGUCGUUCGUACGAGCGCAGAGUCAAUCAGAAUUGUCAAUGAUGCUUACGAUCAAUUUUGAAUAACGAUACGCGAUCGAUUGAAAAUAUAAAAUAUUUCCUCGAAUUAUCGAAACGUGAAGCAAAAAGUUUUACUUACCAAUUUUUAUAUAAAUAUGAAUCAAUGUAUGACUACUUUAUAUACACACACAUAUAUAUUACAUUUGUAAUUGAAAACUUUUGAUUCUUGACGAAAAAUGCAAAAUUGCAUUUACAUCGUAUAAUAUAUAUUUCGUUAACUUGAUAAA
Long non-coding RNA from Apis cerana (Asiatic honeybee), 1764 nucleotides. RefSeq lists it as uncharacterized. The record is from RefSeq and is a predicted model, not a curated record. NCBI's taxonomy places the organism in Eukaryota, Metazoa, Arthropoda, Insecta, Hymenoptera, Apidae.